Molecule: ribosomal RNA, 393 nt
Filed under: uncultured bacterium
Lineage: Bacteria
Description: partial 16S ribosomal RNA
Rfam family: Bacterial small subunit ribosomal RNA
Source: RNAcentral
CUACGGAGGAUGCGAGCGUUAUCCGGAUUUAUUGGGUUUAAAGGGAGCGUAGGUGGGAUAUUAAGUCAGCUGUGAAAGUUUGGGGCUCAACCUUAAAAUUGCAGUUGAUACUGGUUUCCUUGAGUACGGUACAGGUGGGCGGAAUUCGUGGUGUAGCGGUGAAAUGCUUAGAUAUCACGAAGAACUCCGAUCGCGAAGGCAGCUCACCGGGCCGGAACUGACACUGAUGCUCGAAAGUGCGGGUAUCAAACAGGAUUAGAUACCCUGGUAGUCCGCACAGUAAACGAUGAAUACUCGCUGCUUGCGAUACACGGUAAGCGGCCAAGCGAAAGCGUUAAGUAUUCCACCUGGGGAGUACGCCGGCAACGGUGAAACUCAAAGGAAUUGACGGGG